RNAcentral lists this ribosomal RNA (799 nucleotides) under uncultured Alphaproteobacteria bacterium. RNAcentral's name for it is "bacterial SSU rRNA". It matches the Rfam family "Bacterial small subunit ribosomal RNA", at positions 53 to 885 of the family's 1533-position model. Lineage: Bacteria; Pseudomonadati; Pseudomonadota; Alphaproteobacteria. The record is from RNAcentral.
ACAUGCAAGUCGAACGAAGGCCCGGAGCUUGCUCCGGAUCCCUUAGUGGCGAACGGGUGAGUAACGCGUGGGAAUCUACCUAGAAAUGGGGAAUAACUGUUGGAAACGACAGCUAAUACCGCAUAAUCCCUCUGGGGCAAAGGCUUCGGCCGUUUUUAGAUGAGCCCGCGUUAGAUUAGGCUGUUGGUGAGGUAAUGGCUCACCAAACCUACAAUCUAUAGCUGGUCUGAGAGGAUGAUCAGCCACACUGGGACUGAGACACGGCCCAGACUCCUACGGGAGGCAGCAGUGGGGAAUAUUGGACAAUGGGGGAAACCCUGAUCCAGCAAUGCCGCGUGAGUGAUGAAGGCCCUAGGGUUGUAAAGCUCUUUCAGAAGUGAAGAUGAUGACUGUAACUUCAGAAGAAGCUCCGGCUAACUCCGUGCCAGCAGCCGCGGUAAUACGGAGGGAGCUAGCGUUGUUCGGAAUUACUGGGCGUAAAGGGCGUGUAGGCUGUAAAGUAAGUCAGAGGUGAAAUCCCUAAGCUCAACUUAGGAACUGCCUUUGAUACUAUUAUACUAGAGAUCGAGAGAAGUUAGCGGAAUUCCAAGUGUAGAGGUGAAAUUCGUAGAUAUUUGGAAGAACACCAGUGGCGAAAGCGGCUAACUGGCUCGUAUCUGACGCUGAUACGCGAAAGCGUGGGUAGCAAACAGGAUUAGAUACCCUGGUAGUCCACGCCGUAAACGAUGAGUGCUAGCCGUUUGUAAUUAAUUACAAGUGGUGCAGUUAACACAUUAAGCACUCCGCCUGGGGAGUACGA